UGGGGAAUAUUGGACAAUGGGCGAAAGCCUGAUCCAGCAAUGCCGCGUGAGUGAUGAAGGCCUUAGGGUUGUAAAGCUCUUUUACCCGGGAUGAUAAUGACAGUACCGGGAGAAUAAGCUCCGGCUAACUCCGUGCCAGCAGCCGCGGUAAUACGGAGGGAGCUAGCGUUAUUCGGAAUUACUGGGCGUAAAGCGCACGUAGGCGGCUUUGUAAGUUAGAGGUGAAAGCCUGGAGCUCAACUCCAGAAUUGCCUUUAAGACUGCAUCGCUUGAAUCCAGGAGAGGUGAGUGGAAUUCCGAGUGUAGAGGUGAAAUUCGUAGAUAUUCGGAAGAACACCAGUGGCGAAGGGCGGCUCACUGGACUGGUAUUGACGCUGAGGUGCGAAAGCGUGGGGAGCGAAACAGGAUUAGAUACCCUGGUAGUCCACGCCGUAAACGAUGAUAACUAGCUGUCGGGGCUCUUAGAGCUUCGGUGGCGCAGCUAACGCA
Molecule: ribosomal RNA, 489 nt
Filed under: uncultured Pseudomonadota bacterium
Lineage: Bacteria; Pseudomonadati; Pseudomonadota
Description: bacterial SSU rRNA
Rfam family: Bacterial small subunit ribosomal RNA
Source: RNAcentral